CGGGUAGCCGCUUGGAAAAUGACAACAGAUCACAGAGGAGCCACAAGGCCGUACUAGUCGAAAACAGAACAUAUCGUCAAGCUAAAAUCGUUGAGUGCAAUUGCAUGGCAACAGCCAGCCUGUCCUUCAGCUAAUAUAGGAAGAGGCAAGAAACCCAUAGAAGCACAAUGUUGUGACUCAUUUUCUCAGAUAAGUGAUUCAUUUUUCUACACAUUGAAGUUCAAGUGGCGUAUUUAAAACAUGAUAAUCAGAUUUGUAGCAGCAUUGACCCACAUGGCUGACUUGAUCGCUUCUUGCUGCUGUACAAAGCAGAAGAAGAUGACAGCAGCGGGAUGACACAACCGUUGACAACAACAAGUGUGGACCGUGUCUCAGGACAAAACAACAUCCAGUCCGCACGUCUUCUGAUCCUUUUUUUCCUCUUGGGUGAUGCCACGUUUGUUCUAAUGAUGACUUUUCCAGAAAAUCCCAGUGGGGAAGUCGGAUCCUGUCUGACAGCUGACAAGCUUCCCAUUCCUAUUCCCGAUCAUGAUCAUCUCGACUGACUCCGGAAAAAAGAAAUAAUUAAACACUUCACUUAUUUGUGUGUGUGUGUGUGACAUAAGGCCGCAAAAUAUGCUUUGGUGUGUCGUGGUACUCAUGUGACCAAUGACUAUGAACAAGUAAUAAUAGUGCUUUUGAUGAUGAAACUUCAAUCAGUUCAAUGUAGAAAAAAUAAAAUAAAAUAAUUAAAAUAGAAUCAUUUCAAAAU
Hippocampus zosterae (dwarf seahorse) is the source of this 751-nucleotide long non-coding RNA. RefSeq lists it as uncharacterized. Lineage: Eukaryota; Metazoa; Chordata; Actinopteri; Syngnathiformes; Syngnathidae. The transcript is spliced from 3 exons. The record is from RefSeq and is a predicted model, not a curated record.